CCUACGGGCGGCAGCAGUGGGGGAUAUUGCACAAUGGGGGAAACCCUGAUGCAGCGACGCCGCGUGUGGGAAGACGGUCCUCUGGAUUGUAAACCACUGUCCCCAGGGACGAAGAUGACGGUACCUGGGGAGGAAGCUCCGGCUAACUACGUGCCAGUAGCCGCGGUAAUACGUAGGGAGAGAGCGUUGUCCGGAAUUACUGGGUGGAAAGGGAGCGUAGGCUGGACUGCAGGUUGGGUGUCAAAUCUACCGGCUCAACCGGUAGCCGCACUCAAAACUGCAGUUCUUGAGUGAAGUAGAGGCAGGCGGAAUUCCUAGUGUAGCGGUGAAAUGCGUAGAUAUUAGGAGGAACACCAGUGGCGAAGGCGGCCUGCUGGGCUUUUACUGACGCUGAGGCUCGAAAGUGUGGGGAGCAAACAGGAUUAGAUACCCGUGUAGUC
RNAcentral lists this ribosomal RNA (440 nucleotides) under uncultured bacterium. Its description in RNAcentral is "partial 16S ribosomal RNA". It matches the Rfam family "Bacterial small subunit ribosomal RNA", at positions 338 to 795 of the family's 1533-position model. The record is from RNAcentral.